UUGCACGCUGGCGGCAGGCCUCACCCCUGCAAGUCGCGCGGAUGAAGGGAGCUUGCUCCUGGAUUCAGCGGCGGACGGGUGAGUAAUGCCUAGGAAUCUGCCUGGUAGUGGGGGAUAACGUCCGGAAACGGGCGCUAAUACCGCAUACGUCCUGAGGGAGAAAGUGGGGGAUCUUCGGACCUCACGCUAUCAGAUGAGCCUAGGUCGGAUUAGCUAGUUGGGGGGGUAAAGGCCUACCAAGGCGACGAUCCGUAACUGGUCUGAGAGGAUGAUCAGUCACACUGGAACUGAGACACGGUCCAGACUCCUACGGGAGGCAGCAGUGGGGAAUAUUGGACAAUGGGCGAAAGCCUGAUCCAGCCAUGCCGCGUGUGUGAAGAAGGUCUUCGGAUUGUAAAGCACUUUAAGUUGGGAGGAAGGGCAGUAAGUUAAUACCUUGCUGUUUUGACGUUACCAACAGAAUAAGCACCGGCUAACUUCGUG
Molecule: ribosomal RNA, 483 nt
Filed under: uncultured bacterium
Lineage: Bacteria
Description: partial 16S ribosomal RNA
Rfam family: Bacterial small subunit ribosomal RNA
Source: RNAcentral